AUGUUGUCUUCAAGACAAAAAUUAGAUGUUUAUAAACAAACGUACAAUCAGCUUGGACACGAGUUGUCAAACAAUGAUCAUGUCCGAGCAAUUUUAAAUCUGAGCUACCAUGACCUUUCAGACGAUCUCAGAAACUGCUUCUUGUACUGCAGUCUCUUCCCUGAAGACUACCCCAUGUCACGUGACAGCCUUGUGAGGCUGUGGGUUGCAGAAGGCUUUGUGCCGAGUAAGGGAAAGAACACGCCAGAGAUGGUAGCUGAGGGAAAUCUCAUGGAGCUGGUCCACCGCAAUAUGCUUGAGGUGGUGGAGUAUGAUGAGCUUGGCAGGGUCAGCUUCUGUAAGAUGCAUGAUAUUAUGCGUGAACUGGCUAGUUCUGUUGCUAAAGAAGAGAGAUUUGCUUCAACAGAUGAUUACGACACGAUGAUGGAUAUUCGUCGUCUGUCAUCAUGUGAAUGGAAAGAGGACACUGCACGGAAAGCUGAACUUUCACAUCUUCGAACAGUAGUGUCAGUAAUUCCAUCCUCGCCUGACAUGCUAUCAUCAAUUUUAUCUGCAUCGAACUACCUUACUGUUCUUGAGCUGCAAGACUCUGAAAUAACUGAAGUGCCAAAAUCGAUUGGGUCUCAGUUCAAUCUGCGUUACAUCGGGUUACGGCGCACCAAGGUCAAGGCACUUCCGGACUCUAUUGAGCAUUUGUCUCGCCUCCACACCCUCGACAUCAAGCAAACCAAAAUAGAGAAGCUACCACGAGGGCUUUUCAAGAUCAAGAAGCUGCAGCAUCUUUUCGCCGAUAGAUAUGUUGAUGAGAAGCAGGUGGAGUUUCGGUACUUUAAUGGAAUGCAAGCACCUAAAGAGCUGUCGAACUUGCAAGAACUGCAAACUCUUGAGACCGUGGAAUCCAGCAAUGACCUGGCCGAACAGCUGCAGAAAUUGAUGCAACUAAGAAGUCUGUGGAUUGAUAACAUUAGUGCCGCUGAGUGUGCAAAUCUGUUUGUUACCCUUUCAAAUAUGCCGCUUCUUUCAAGCUUGCUUCUUUGUGCAAGGGAUGAGAAUGAGGCACUUUGCUUUCAGGCUCUCCAGCCAAGGUCUACAGAUCUACACAAGUUGAUUAUCAGAGGGAAAUGGGCCAAGGGGACACUAAAUUGCCCGAUAUUUCUGAAGCAUGGGACACAUCUCAAGUAUCUAGCUCUAAGCUGGUGUCACCUUGUGGAAGAUCCACUGGAGAUACUUGCGCGGCACAUGCCGAACCUCACGUAUCUGAGACUUAACAACAUGCAUGGUGCAAAUACUCUGGCUCUUUCUGCAAAUUCCUUUCCAAACCUGAAGACACUUAUCUUAACGUGCAUGCAUGAUGUCAGUGAGCUAAACAUCAGUGACGGCGCUCUUCCAUGCGUUGAAGGUCUGUAUAUCAUCUCGCUACCGAAGCUUGACAAGGUCCCUCAAGGCAUUGAAUCCCUUCGCGCCCUUAAGAAGCUCACGCUGCAGUGCUUGCACAAGGAUUUCAGAAGUCAAUGGGACACCAACGGAAUGCAUCAGAAGAACUGCAUGUUCCAGAGGUUCGUGUCUAGAUGCAGCAGGUCGGUUCUACCUGCAAUGUUUGUCUUGGAUGGUGCAUCUGUCAUUCACAGUCGUGUGGUACAUUUAAUCAUUCCAGUAAAAUUUGUGAUUAUUCAUACCAUCAGCAACAUUUUACGGUGCUUAUAUGUGUAA
RNAcentral lists this ribosomal RNA (1710 nucleotides) under Triticum aestivum (bread wheat). Its description in RNAcentral is "partial small subunit ribosomal RNA". Lineage: Eukaryota; Viridiplantae; Streptophyta; Magnoliopsida; Poales; Poaceae. The record is from RNAcentral.